This 695-nucleotide long non-coding RNA is filed under the name Coturnix japonica (Japanese quail). Its description in RNAcentral is "lncRNA (ENSCJPG00005003667.1)". Lineage: Eukaryota; Metazoa; Chordata; Aves; Galliformes; Phasianidae. The record is from RNAcentral.
CUCCAUGUUAAAUAGGACUUAAUCAACAGGCUUGCUUGUGUACCAUCAAGUUUAUGUGCUAUGGAUUUACAGGUUAGGUUUAUUAGGCAAUACUUAUUACUUUCUAUUUUUAUUCUAGAACUGGAGUUGCAGGAAACAGAGAAUGAAAUUUAGCCUUCAAACUCUGUAAGUCUCAUUGGGUGGCUUUACAGAAGAGGUGAACAAAUCAGCGUGCAAGAGUGGGUGAAGUUCAGAAGCAAGAAUGUAACUGCAAUGUGAAACCAGCAGUAUGAAGUGAGAUCUGGGUUUAAUAACAUCCGUGGACAACCCAUGCAAAAUAAGAAACAGUAGAAAGGAGCGAACUUUGAGGAGCAAAAUAUGUGGGUGAAUUUCCUCUUGUAUAUUUGGAGAAGCGCAGGACUUGGAAUUCUCUGAAACAUAAACUGGCUCAUCUUCCUUCCCCAGAGAACUUGUUUCUGUUUUCUUCCAGAGUACUUACGGAGUAUGGAGGAAGGCAGUGGGCUGUCAUAAGGAGGACAUUUGCAUCAAGGUGUUUCAGUGUACCUGAAAAGAACCAUAGGAAGCGAACUGAUGCCAGAGUCCUUCUCCAGGAAGAAUUGCAGAUGCUUUCAUCCCAUAAAGCAUGUUGCCUGGACAAGUCUUCAGGAGUUGUUUGCCUGCUGGCCAUGACAACACAUGUAGCUGGUCUACACUGA